Molecule: transfer RNA, 71 nt
Filed under: Marmota monax (woodchuck)
Lineage: Eukaryota; Metazoa; Chordata; Mammalia; Rodentia; Sciuridae
Rfam family: tRNA
About the family: Transfer RNA (tRNA) molecules are approximately 80 nucleotides in length. Their secondary structure includes four short double-helical elements and three loops (D, anti-codon, and T loops).
Source: Rfam by way of RNAcentral
GGGGUUGUGGCUCAGCGGCAGAGCACUUGCCUCGCAUGUGUGAGGCCCUGGGUUCGAUUCUCAGCACCUCA